RNAcentral lists this transfer RNA (76 nucleotides) under bacterium. RNAcentral describes it as "tRNA-Arg". It matches the Rfam family "tRNA". From Rfam's summary of the family: Transfer RNA (tRNA) molecules are approximately 80 nucleotides in length. The record is from RNAcentral.
GUCCUCGUAGCUCAAUGGAUAGAGCGUUUGGUUGCGGACCAAAAGGCUGCAGGUUCGAUUCCUGCCGGGGACACCA